AAACGACUCUCGGCAACGGAUAUCUCGGCUCAUGCAUCGAUGAAGAACGUAGCAAAAUGCGAUACUUGGUGUGAAUUGCAGAAUCCCGUGAACCAUCGAGUUUUUGAACGCAAGUUGCGCCCGAAGCCAUCCGGUUGAGGGCACGCCUGCCUGGGCGUCACGC
Molecule: ribosomal RNA, 163 nt
Filed under: Moscharia pinnatifida
Lineage: Eukaryota; Viridiplantae; Streptophyta; Magnoliopsida; Asterales; Asteraceae
Also listed under: 1 other name
Description: 5.8S ribosomal RNA
Rfam family: 5.8S ribosomal RNA
About the family: 5.8S ribosomal RNA (5.8S rRNA) is a component of the large subunit of the eukaryotic ribosome.
Source: RNAcentral